Molecule: long non-coding RNA, 731 nt
Organism: Phacochoerus africanus (Common warthog)
Lineage: Eukaryota; Metazoa; Chordata; Mammalia; Artiodactyla; Suidae
Exons: 4
Source: RefSeq, a predicted model, not a curated record
GGAUAAAGAACAUGAAGGAGGAUAAGUUUCCACACUUCACCUAAACUUGUGUAAUGCUGAUGCCAAGAGACGGUGGUAAGAAAGGUGUGUUCCUAAAGGCCUCUGACUAGAAGACACUGACUCUGAGAAUCACAUAACGAUCUGAAGACUUAAAAGCUGUCCAUCAGCCCCUCGUCCCUGGAAAAAGGAAACCUGAAGGCUGCAAACUUCAAAGUAGGUCAAGGAAAGAUCGGCCUGUCCGCCUGAAGCCUAGAAGGCCGGCUGAUAAGAACCCAGCGCACCCUGGCGCCCUGGUCUCCACCGCGUGGCAGGAAGGACGUGCACCAUCAAACCUGGGCUGCACGGAGGGAGAAUGUUCUUGGUAGGCCUCAACCAAUCAAAGGCCUGAAUAGAGCCAAAGACUGACCUCCCAGGGACAGAAGGAAUUCUGCCAGCAGAUGGGCCUCAGACUGCACCUGCAGCGUCAGCUCCUCCUGGUUCAGCUGCCGGCCCGUGGACUCGCACCGCUGUUCUUUCCUGACGCUCCUACCUGCAGGCUACCUGCCCGUCAGAUUCUGAACUCACCAAACCUUCCCAGAUGGGUAAGUCAAUUCCUUAAAACAAAUCUCUCUAAACAGGCACAUCCUAUUGGUUCAUUUUCUCUGGAGAACCCUGACGAAUGCACCCCCCCACCAACUUCCUUAUUCUUUUCCUUGGUCCUCGUUCAUGUCCUUCAGAAGCCCACACCAGCA